RNAcentral lists this ribosomal RNA (482 nucleotides) under uncultured bacterium. RNAcentral's name for it is "partial 16S ribosomal RNA". It matches the Rfam family "Bacterial small subunit ribosomal RNA", at positions 30 to 507 of the family's 1533-position model. The record is from RNAcentral.
AUUGAACGCUGGCGGCAUGCUUUACACAUGCAAGUCGAACGGUAACAGGCCGCGAGGUGCUGACGAGUGGCGAACGGGUGCGUAAUGCAUCGGAACGUGCCCAGUCGUGGGGGAUAACUACUCGAAAGAGUAGCUAAUACCGCAUACGAUCUAUGGAUGACAGCGGGGGACCGUAAGGCCUCGCGCGAUUUGAGCGGCCGAUGUCAGAUUAGGUAGUUGGUGGGGUAAAGGCUCACCAAGCCAACGAUCUGUGGCUGGUCUGAGAGGGCGACCAGCCACACUGGAACUGAGACACGGCCCAGACUCCUACGGGAGGCAGCAGUGGGGAAUUUUGGACAAUGGGCGCAAGCCUGAUCCAGCAAUGCCGCGUGCAGGAAGAAGGCCUUCGGGUUGUAAACUGCUUUUGUACGGAACGAAACGGCUCUGGUUAAUACCCGGGGCUAAUGACGGUACCGUAAGAAUAAGCACCGGCUAACUACGUG